RNAcentral lists this ribosomal RNA (478 nucleotides) under uncultured bacterium. Its description in RNAcentral is "partial 16S ribosomal RNA". It matches the Rfam family "Bacterial small subunit ribosomal RNA", at positions 28 to 507 of the family's 1533-position model. The record is from RNAcentral.
GAUGAACGCUGGCGGCGUGCCUAACACAUGCAAGUCGAACGGAGUCCAGCCUUUAAGACCUUCGGGUCAAAGAGGGGGAGACUGAGUGGCGGACGGGUGAGUAACACGUGGGCAACCUGGCUCAUAGAGGGGGAUAACAGAGAGAAAUUUCUGCUAAUACCGCAUAAGCACACACUGCCGCAUGGCAGAGGGUGAAAAGAGAAUCGCUAUGAGAUGGACCCGCGUCUGAUUAGCCAGUUGGCAGGGUAAGAGCCCACCAAAGCGACGAUCAGUAGCCGAUCUGAGAGGAUGAACGGCCACAUUGGGACUGAGACACGGCCCAAACUCCUACGGGAGGCAGCAGUGGGGGAUAUUGCACAAUGGGGGGAACCCUGAUGCAGCGACGCCGCGUGAGUGAAGAAGUAUUUCGGUAUGUAAAGCUCUAUCAGCAGGGAAGAUAAUGACAGUACCUGAAUAAGAAGCCCCGGCUAACUACGUG